RNAcentral lists this ribosomal RNA (222 nucleotides) under uncultured Hyphomicrobiales bacterium. Its description in RNAcentral is "uncultured Rhizobiales bacterium partial 16S ribosomal RNA". It matches the Rfam family "Bacterial small subunit ribosomal RNA", at positions 120 to 358 of the family's 1533-position model. The record is from RNAcentral. Lineage: Bacteria; Pseudomonadati; Pseudomonadota; Alphaproteobacteria; Hyphomicrobiales.
GGGAGCGUGCCCUUCAGUUCGGAACAACCCAGGGAAACUUGGGCUAAUACCGGAUACGUCCGUAAGGAGAAAGAUUUAUCGCUGAAGGAUCGGCCCGCGUCUGAUUAGCUAGUUGGUGGGGUAACGGCCCACCAAGGCGACGAUCAGUAGCUGGUCUGAGAGGAUGAUCAGCCACACUGGGACUGAGACACGGCCCAGACUCCUACGGGAGGCAGCAGUGGG